Molecule: ribosomal RNA, 452 nt
Filed under: uncultured bacterium
Lineage: Bacteria
Description: bacterial SSU rRNA
Rfam family: Bacterial small subunit ribosomal RNA
Source: RNAcentral
GGCAGCAGUGGGAAUAUUGCACAAUGGGCGCAAGCCUGAUGCAGCCAUGCCGCGUGUAUGAAGAAGGCCUUCGGGUUGUAAAGUACUUUCAGCAGUGAGGAAGGUGGAUAUGUUAAUAGCAUAUUCAUUUGACGUUAGCUGCAGAAGAAGCACCGGCUAACUCCGUGCCAGCAGCCGCGGUAAUACGGAGGGUGCGAGCGUUAAUCGGAAUUACUGGGCGUAAAGCGCAUGCAGGUGGUUUGUUAAGUCAGAUGUGAAAGCCCGGGGCUCAACCUCGGAAUUGCAUUUGAAACUGGCAAACUAGAGUACUGUAGAGGGGGUAGAAUUUCAGGUGUAGCGGUGAAAUGCGUAGAGAUCUGAAGGAAUACCGGUGGCGAAGGCGGCCCCCUGGACAGAUACUGACACUCAGAUGCGAAAGCGUGGGGAGCAAACAGGAUUAGAUACCCUGGUCG